RNAcentral lists this ribosomal RNA (501 nucleotides) under uncultured bacterium. RNAcentral's name for it is "bacterial SSU rRNA". It matches the Rfam family "Bacterial small subunit ribosomal RNA", at positions 46 to 507 of the family's 1533-position model. The record is from RNAcentral.
GACUUAACACAUGACAAGUACGAACGAGACGUAUUUAGAAGUCUUGUCUUUUAGUUGAGUACGAGUGGACAACGGGUGAGUAACGCGUAGACAACCUGCCGCAAAAGAUGGGGACAACAGUCCGAAAGGACUGCUAAUACCGAAUGUUGUAUCUUCUCCGCAUGGAAGAGAUAUUAAAGAUGGCCUCUACUUGUAAGCUAUCGCUUUGCGAUGGGUCUGCGUCUGAUUAGCUAGUUGGUGGGGCAACGGCCUACCAAGGCGACGAUCAGUAGCCGGUCUGAGAGGAUGAACGGCCACAUUGGAACUGAGACACGGUCCAGACUCCUACGGGAGGCAGCAGUGGGGAAUCUUCCGCAAUGGGCGAAAGCCUGACGGAGCAACGCCGCGUGAGUGAAGAAGGUCUUCGGAUCGUAAAGCUCUGUUGUCGGGGACGAAUGUUGAGACCUAGAACAUAGGUUUCAAAUGACGGUACCUGACGAGGAAGCCACGGCUAACUACGUG